Molecule: ribosomal RNA, 2789 nt
Filed under: Klebsiella oxytoca 10-5248
Lineage: Bacteria; Pseudomonadati; Pseudomonadota; Gammaproteobacteria; Enterobacterales; Enterobacteriaceae
Description: bacterial LSU rRNA
Rfam family: Bacterial large subunit ribosomal RNA
Source: RNAcentral
AGCGUACACGGUGGAUGCCCUGGCAGUCAGAGGCGAUGAAGGACGUGCUAAUCUGCGAAAAGCGUCGGUAAGGUGAUAUGAACCGUUAUAACCGGCGAUGUCCGAAUGGGGAAACCCAGUGCAAUUCGUUGCACUAUCGUUAACUGAAUACAUAGGUUAACGAGGCGAACCGGGGGAACUGAAACAUCUAAGUACCCCGAGGAAAAGAAAUCAACCGAGAUUCCCCCAGUAGCGGCGAGCGAACGGGGAGCAGCCCGGAGUCUGAAUCAGCUUGUGUGUUAGUGGAAGCGUCUGGAAAGUCGCAGGGUACAGGGUGAUACUCCCGUACACUAAAACACACAGGUUGUGAACUCGAAGAGUAGGGCGGGACACGUGGUAUCCUGUCUGAAUAUGGGGGGACCAUCCUCCAAGGCUAAAUACUCCUGACUGACCGAUAGUGAACCAGUACCGUGAGGGAAAGGCGAAAAGAACCCCGGCGAGGGGAGUGAAAAAGAACCUGAAACCGUGUACGUACAAGCAGUAGGAGCCCACUAGUUGGGUGACUGCGUACCUUUUGUAUAAUGGGUCAGCGACUUAUAUUCUGUAGCAAGGUUAACCGUAUAGGGGAGCCGCAGGGAAACCGAGUCUUAACUGGGCGUUAAGUUGCAGGGUAUAGACCCGAAACCCGGUGAUCUAGCCAUGGGCAGGUUGAAGGUUGGGUAACACUAACUGGAGGACCGAACCGACUAAUGUUGAAAAAUUAGCGGAUGACUUGUGGCUGGGGGUGAAAGGCCAAUCAAACCGGGAGAUAGCUGGUUCUCCCCGAAAGCUAUUUAGGUAGCGCCUCGUGAACUCAUCUUCGGGGGUAGAGCACUGUUUCGGCUAGGGGGUCAUCCCGACUUACCAACCCGAUGCAAACUACGAAUACCGAAGAAUGUUAUCACGGGAGACACACGGCGGGUGCUAACGUCCGUCGUGAAGAGGGAAACAACCCAGACCGCCAGCUAAGGUCCCAAAGUCAUGGUUAAGUGGGAAACGAUGUGGGAAGGCCCAGACAGCCAGGAUGUUGGCUUAGAAGCAGCCAUCAUUUAAAGAAAGCGUAAUAGCUCACUGGUCGAGUCGGCCUGCGCGGAAGAUGUAACGGGGCUAAACCAUGCACCGAAGCUGCGGCAGCGACACUAUGUGUUGUUGGGUAGGGGAGCGUUCUGUAAGCCGUUGAAGGUGGCCUGUGAGGGUUGCUGGAGGUAUCAGAAGUGCGAAUGCUGACAUAAGUAACGAUAAUGCGGGUGAAAAACCCGCACGCCGGAAGACCAAGGGUUCCUGUCCAACGUUAAUCGGGGCAGGGUGAGUCGACCCCUAAGGCGAGGCCGAAAGGCGUAGUCGAUGGGAAACAGGUUAAUAUUCCUGUACUUGGUGUUACUGCGAAGGGGGGACGGAGAAGGCUAUGUUGGCCGGGCGACGGUUGUCCCGGUUUAAGCAUGUAGGCGGAUGUUCCAGGUAAAUCCGGAACGUCACUAACGCUGAGGUGUGAUGACGAGGCACUACGGUGCUGAAGUGACAAAUGCCCUGCUUCCAGGAAAAGCCUCUAAGCAUCAGGUAACAUCAAAUCGUACCCCAAACCGACACAGGUGGUCAGGUAGAGAAUACCAAGGCGCUUGAGAGAACUCGGGUGAAGGAACUAGGCAAAAUGGUGCCGUAACUUCGGGAGAAGGCACGCUGAUGGUAGGUGAAGUGACUUGCUCAUGGAGCUGAAAUCAGUCGAAGAUACCAGCUGGCUGCAACUGUUUAUUAAAAACACAGCACUGUGCAAACACGAAAGUGGACGUAUACGGUGUGACGCCUGCCCGGUGCCGGAAGGUUAAUUGAUGGGGUUAUCCUCGCGGAGAAGCUCUUGAUCGAAGCCCCGGUAAACGGCGGCCGUAACUAUAACGGUCCUAAGGUAGCGAAAUUCCUUGUCGGGUAAGUUCCGACCUGCACGAAUGGCGUAAUGAUGGCCAGGCUGUCUCCACCCGAGACUCAGUGAAAUUGAACUCGCUGUGAAGAUGCAGUGUACCCGCGGCAAGACGGAAAGACCCCGUGAACCUUUACUAUAGCUUGACACUGAACACUGGUCCUUGAUGUGUAGGAUAGGUGGGAGGCUUUGAAGUGUGGACGCCAGUCUGCAUGGAGCCAUCCUUGAAAUACCACCCUUUAAUGGCUGGUGUUCUAACGUGGGCCCGUGAUCCGGGUUGCGGACAGUGUCUGGUGGGUAGUUUGACUGGGGCGGUCUCCUCCUAAAGAGUAACGGAGGAGCACGAAGGUCAGCUAAUCCUGGUCGGACAUCAGGAGGUUAGUGCAAUGGCAUAAGCUGGCUUGACUGCGAGCGUGACGGCGCGAGCAGGUGCGAAAGCAGGUCAUAGUGAUCCGGUGGUUCUGAAUGGAAGGGCCAUCGCUCAACGGAUAAAAGGUACUCCGGGGAUAACAGGCUGAUACCGCCCAAGAGUUCAUAUCGACGGCGGUGUUUGGCACCUCGAUGUCGGCUCAUCACAUCCUGGGGCUGAAGUAGGUCCCAAGGGUAUGGCUGUUCGCCAUUUAAAGUGGUACGCGAGCUGGGUUUAGAACGUCGUGAGACAGUUCGGUCCCUAUCUGCCGUGGGCGCUGGAGAAUUGAGGGGGGCUGCUCCUAGUACGAGAGGACCGGAGUGGACGCAUCACUGGUGUUCGGGUUGUCAUGCCAAUGGCAUUGCCCGGUAGCUAAAUGCGGAAGAGAUAAGUGCUGAAAGCAUCUAAGCACGAAACUUGCCCCGAGAUGAGUUCUCCCUGACUCCUUGA